UGCCCGCCGCUCACAUGUGGCUCCGCGUCCCCGAGCGCGCCCGGCCCGGCCGCCCCUGCCCUGGGAGCUCCUCCUGCUCCUCCCCGGCACGAUGCGCGCAGGACACGAGCGGCUCCGGAGCACUUUGAGUUGCUCCCACCCCGCUCCGUGGGAUUAAUCCAUCCUUUCGGAGGUUAUUUUCGGCAGGCAGGCUCGCGGGCGGGCAGGGCGGCCGGAGGAAGAGCCCGCGGCAGGGGAGGGAUGCGGGAGCAGGGCAGCGGAGCCGGGCGGGACUGAGCCACCCGCAGAGCAGAGGAGGAGAGCGGAGCGGAGCUGCCCUGCUCCCUGCUCCCGUGCCGGGCUGCCCGCAUGGCUCCCGGGCACUGUGGAGAUUGUGGGGGCUGCUGCUGCUGAGCAACCAUCCAUCGCUUUAAACUCAGCCUCAACUUAGCGCAGCAGGCAAGGAUGGCAACGCCACUGGAGCUUUGGAGCUGCCAGGAGAGCCGGGGAACCUGGGUUUUGGUCGCCGCUGUCUAAUAAAUGGGAGUAAAAUGGAAUUUCUUACCUGGGUUUUUCCUGCCUUGGUUCUACUGUGCACCCAACAGCACAGGUGUAUCAGAGCUAUGAGUGACAUCGGAGACUACAUUGGUUCCAACAUUGAAAUCUCCUGGCUGCCCAACCUGGAUGAUUUAAUGAAAGGCUACGCACGGAAUUUCAGGCCUGGCAUUGGAGGUCCCCCCGUUAACGUUGCUCUGGCCAUCGAAGUAGCCAGCAUUGACCACAUCUCAGAGGUGAACAUGGAAUACACCAUGACAGUGUUUUUGCACCAGAGCUGGCGAGACGACCGUCUGUCUUACAACCACACCAACGAGACUCUGGGCUUAGACAGCAGGUUUGUGGACAAGCUCUGGUUGCCAGAUACUUUCAUAGUCAAUGCCAAGUCUGCCUGGUUCCAUGAUGUGACUGUGGAAAACAAACUUAUCAGGCUCCAGCCAGAUGGAGUCAUUUUAUACAGCAUCAGGAUUACCUCAACAGUGGCCUGUGACAUGGACCUGUCCAAGUACCCCAUGGACGAGCAGGAGUGCAUGUUGGAUUUGGAGAGCUAUGGUUACUCCUCGGAGGACAUCGUGUACCACUGGUCAGAGAACCAGGAGGAGAUUCAUGGGCUGGACAAGCUGCAGCUCGCCCAGUUCACCAUCACCAACUACCAGUUCACCACAGAAAUUAUGAACUUCAAAUCUGCAGGGCAGUUUCCCAGGCUCAGUCUCCACUUCCACCUGCGGCGGAAUCGAGGAGUUUACAUCAUCCAGUCCUACGUCCCCUCCAUCCUCCUGGUGGCCAUGUCCUGGGUGUCCUUCUGGAUCAGCCAGUCAGCUGUGCCUGCCAGGGUGUCCUUAGGAAUAACCACAGUCCUCACCAUGACCACGCUGAUGGUCAGUGCCCGCUCCUCCCUCCCUCGAGCCUCUGCCAUCAAGGCCCUGGACGUUUAUUUCUGGAUCUGUUACGUGUUCGUGUUCGCGGCGCUGGUGGAAUACGCCUUCGCUCACUUCAACGCUGACUACAUGAAAAAGCAGAAGAACAAGAUCAAGGCGAGGAGGCAGAGUGCAGAGAUCAACGUGAAGAAUGCCAUUGUUCUGUUUUCCCUUUCCAUAGCCGGUGUGAACCAGGAACUGGCCAUUUCCAACAGGCAGCACCGAAUUCCCAGGAGCCUGCCCGGCUCGUAUGGCACAAUAGAAAUAGAAACUGGAGAGACCAAGCAGCAGGCAGGGAUCAAACUGGAUAAAAAGACUGGCCUGAAGUCCCUGUUCAAGCCCAUCGACGCCGACACCAUCGACAUUUACGCCCGAGCCGUGUUCCCAGCAGCCUUUGCAGCAGUCAAUGUCAUCUACUGGGUCGCUUACACCAUGUAAAAACCCCAAAUCAGGGACAGUCGUGGCCAGAGCUACAAACUCAACAACACCCCCGGAUUGAGGAGCCCUUGCUGAGACUGAAUCGAGCCAUUUCUUCUCAAAAUAUUUUCCAACGAGCUCAAGACACUUCUAAAGUCAAGGAAGUCCUGCUAUGAAUUCCCAAAAAAAGCAGCAAUUAUUUGAUACAGUGAGAACUGUGCUGUGCCAGACCAUCCCAGCUCCUUCCUUCCUCCAAUACCAUGAGACGAUUUUUCAUAUGUACAUAUUUGUAGCAAAAGUUUAACUCUUAAAUGACCACGGUUUUCCUCCCCUUUAAGGGUUGAUCAGUAAUGAAGAUUUGGCUUUUCACACUCAGAUAAUUACCUUUUUUGUAACGAAAGAGUUAAUUCCUCACUUCUGCACAUGAGUGAUUUUCUGCCUCUGGCCUUCUGUGGGAUGGUCUAGGUUUAACAGUAGUGGGAAAGUUGGAGUUUUUAAUUAGAAAAAUCUCAUGAACAAAGUAAAAAGGAAUAGAGGGGAGUGGAGGUUUUUCUUAAAAUAUUAUUUGUCUUGGAUAAAAUAUUGAAAAAAUUCAGUGCUCUUAGUCACAGCAUGAAAUAAAAUAUACUACAUCAAAUUCUACUGAAUUGUUAAUAAUGACUGUAUUACAUUUCAGAUCUAAGCUAAUGAAAGUCGAAACACUUAAACACAGAAAUGUUUAUUAGUUUAAUAGGUCCCAAACAUACAAAAAUGAUUUAGAAACAGAGGGAAAGCUCAGGCUUCCUAUGUUGGAUUGGGAAAAAAUUUAAAGGUGCUUCAUAAGGAAUAAACUCUGACUCCAUUUUCAGGAAGGACUUUAGAAUUUGUUCUGUUGAUUGUCAGUGAGAUUCUACCAUGUGUGCCUCUGAAAAUAUCCUUUUUGAAUCUGUCUCUCAAUAGCUGAAUGAAGUACAGAAAAGAAUUCAUAACUGGCUUCAAGUUACUCGGUUGCUUUGGAUAUUUUUGCCAUUUUUGUUCCAGGCUGACCUGAUCCAUUAGGGCUCUUCUCUUCCCUUACUCAACAGGGAAAUCUGUAGGUCCUCAUACACAGUCCCUAAGUCAGGACUAGAUCCUCUUGCCCAACUCAUGCAAAAUAGCACUUUGUUCUGUAAAUAAUUCCAGUGAACUCAGCAAAUGAACACAGUAUUCACAACAAACAAGCUCCACAACUAAUCUCUAAAAUCUCCACAGUAAAUAUAUUGGAAUAUGGAUUAAACCCACUGAAAUAUUGUUCGUGUGGGAAGCCAAUGGGAGACGCUACAAAAGGGAAAUUUAUUUUGAAGAUUUUGUUGCCUUGAAAGUGAGAGGUUGUUUUUAAAUAUAGAGACUGACACAAAAGCAAAUAUUAAAUGAGAGAGAGAGGGAAAGAAGGAGGCAAAGCAAGGGGCUGAAAUCUGCCAUGGAAGGGAGAGUAAGAUUUGUUCAGUAUCAGUGAAGUAAGAGAAUGCUUUGAAGAAAAACCAAUGAUCUUGAACUGAGCUGUAACAGCAAAUAUGCCCCACUGUAAGUCAGGUUUAGGUUCACCUCCAUGUUUAGUUUCUGUUAUCAUGGAAAAGCCGUCAGCCAACAGUGUGCUGGAAAGCCCCAACUGCCAUCAAGCUGUAACUGUUCCACAGAGUCCUUCCCGAGCCAACCCUGGACUGAGACACCCGGAUUCUGCUCCAGGAUCUCCCCACUGACUCGCUGGGGAACCCCAGUUAAGAUCCUGCACUGCAUCAUCUCCAAAAUUGCUUUAAUGAUGCUGAUUUCUUUGAGUUUUACAGAAGACAAACCCUUCAGGAGAGGCAGAAACUCUCAUCCUCCAAAUGGGUAAGUGCAUCCAACCGGUGCUUCCGUGGUGGUAUUUGCCACAGUUUCUGAGACUCUCACAUACUGAAUUAAAGCAGAGUAUCACUCAACUUCCACCUUAUCCAGAACACUAAUGGAAAUAUGGAUCUCCUUCAAGAAUCAGAUCUUCAAGGUGCACAGCUCAGUGUGACUGAUCAAAGGCAGAGGUGGCAGUGAUCUCCUCAGAAAACCCCAAAGCCAGAAUGCCAGACUACCCCAAUGAUGCACACAGAAGCACAAACGAGAGGACAGAAAUACCCCAGGAGGUUGCAGGCAGUCAGGAAAGUGCCCUGGGAGCCACAGAUGGCAACGUGUCCAUCCCAGGAACGAGGCAGUCAGAGGGGAGAACAGGAUUUUGGGUACUGGUUCUGCACUGGCAUGAGUAGCACAAAACAAAACACCUCCCUCACCAAGAGUGGGAUUUUCUUAAAUCUGUUUCCAGAGCCAGAAACAGAAAACUCAGAUGCCAUUCAAACUUUUAAGGAGACAUUUCAGUACAGGAGUAUGGUGAAUUGAUUGGAGCUUUGCAUAAAUUUGAAUCUUCUAUAUUUUUUUUCAUUUAAAAUCAUCAUAUUUAAAAAUCUUCAGACAUUACUACUUUAGAUCUAUUAACAUCUAAAGGCAAUUCCCUAUUCAACUCUAAUUUCAUGAUGCCCUUAAUAAAGUUAAUAAGCCAAAUCUGAUGUCAGUUGAAUGCUGACUUUGGAUGGGUUUUACUAGGGUCAUAAAAAAAAGUAUGUGACAGAUCAGAAGGCACCUGAAAGCAUUUGUGUUCCUUUCAGCAAUUUAUAGUUCUGCUCUAUGGACUGGCGUGUCUGUGAGAAAAGGAGUGGGCUAUGUGUUAAUGUAAUCAUUCUAAAUGUGAAGUGUUAAUAAAAUGUACAUAUACAGAAAUUGGAGCUUCUGUAAACUGCCAAAACAGACAUUCCAACUAUUGAACUGGAAGAUGAAAAGCAUUAGAAAGGCAAAUCAAAAUAACCCCCGAGAUUUCAUCCCAUAAUGACAUCCUGCCUGUUCAGGGCCCAAGGGCUUGGAAAACUCUCCCCUGGCCUCGGCAGCAGAGGAGGAAGUGCCGCUGUGUGCUCAGGAGAGCUUCUGGGGGGCACUUCUGCAAAGUGCUGUACUGAUGGCAGAAAGGGCGGCUGCUGCCCCAAGAGGCUGGAAGGAAUCAGAAAGCACGAGAUGAAAGAUGAAGAAGAGCAAGACAUUCCCUGAUUUGUUUGAAAGUAAUGCUGGCAGUGAGAGCACUAUUAAGAGGUUAAAAUACAGGAUGUCUGUCCUGUGUCUGGGUAGCAAUGAGAGCAUUUAUCCCACUUAAAGGAAAAGCUCUCCCAUCAGUUCCUAACUGGUUUGCUAAUCCAAUAGAUAAUGUAGCGAAACCAAUUUAACUCAGUGAGGCUUCUGCUGUUGGGACAACAAAACACUUAAUAGGAUUGCUCUGGUUUGAAAUACUCCCAGUCGUUAACCUAAAAAAGCACUUCCCAUCAGGAGGAAAACAGCACCCUGAAUGUUCGUCUCUGAAGCAGAACAGAUAACAAAAAGCUUAUUGAAAGUUUCUGAGAAUAUUUUUGUUUAAAGAAAAAAAUCUGAGGCAACUCCCUCCUUUAUUAUAGCAGCUCAAACCACUUGCAAUGGUUGAAAGCCUGUUGGAUACUAAAAUAACACUGCGUGCAAUAUAUGUUACAGACACAGCUAAUUGUUCUUAAUGAAAACUGAAUAAAAAUUUGGCAAC
Molecule: RNA transcript, 5466 nt
Organism: Neopelma chrysocephalum (saffron-crested tyrant-manakin)
Lineage: Eukaryota; Metazoa; Chordata; Aves; Passeriformes; Pipridae
Gene: GABRD
Gene name: gamma-aminobutyric acid type A receptor delta subunit
Exons: 10
Source: RefSeq, a predicted model, not a curated record